AAAAGUCGUGCACGCCAGGGUGUGUCCUCUCACAUAAAAUCCAUCUCACCCUUUUGUGCACCACCGCGUGGGCACCCUUCGGGGUCGAACAGAUCCAGGAGGGGGCUUGCGUUUUCACACAAACCCCUUUUUAAAAGUGUAGAAUGACCCCACUUUUGCGAUAACACGCAAUCAAUACAACUUUCAACAACGGAUCUCUUGGCUCUCGCAUCGAUGAAGAACGCAGCGAAAUGCGAUACGUAAUGUGAAUUGCAGAAUUCAGUGAAUCAUCGAAUCUUUGAACGCACCUUGCGCCCCUUGGUAUUCCGAGGGGCACACCCGUUUGAGUGUCGUGAAAAUCUCAACCUUCUCGGUUUCUUCUGAACACCGAAGGAGGCUUGGACUUUGGAGGCCUUUGCUGGUGUCUCUCACCAGCUCCUCUCAAAUGAAUUAGCGGGGUCCUCUUUGCCGAUCCUCGACAUGUGAUAAGAUGUUUCCAUGUCUUGGCUUUAUGGCUCUGUUGCCUUUGGGACCCGCUUCUAACCGUCUCAGCGAGACAACGUUCGAGCGUGUCUCCCCUCUCGGGGAAACACUCUUGAACC
This 581-nucleotide ribosomal RNA is filed under the name uncultured Lactarius. Its description in RNAcentral is "eukaryotic LSU rRNA". The stretch from base 179 to 332 matches the Rfam family "5.8S ribosomal RNA". The record is from RNAcentral. Lineage: Eukaryota; Fungi; Basidiomycota; Agaricomycetes; Russulales; Russulaceae.